GCCGCGGCCAGGAAAAGGCAGCAAACAAAGUGAACAGUCAGCCAAGGAACGUUUGCUGGAGAUUUACGUGGAAACCUGCUCACAGAUGCAGGGCUGCUGGAUUUAUAACAAGGGUGAAAGAGGAAAAUGCCUUUGUGUUUACACAUGAGCCGGAGAGAAAGGGGGACCAGCGCAUCUUGCAUCUUAUGGUAUGGCAUGCAAGAGGGGGCCACAGGACUCCCCAGGGGAAGACCAAAUCACUGAUCAGGACUCUUCGGAUCACUGAGCUGCUGUGGCUCCAGUGAUCACAUCUGUAUUCUAGUAAGGAAGGUGGAAAGUGGAAGAGAUGUGGUCUGCCUCCUCGAUUGUCCUAUCCCUCUUAAAGGCUUCAGCUGCGUCACAUAACCACAUCUAGCUGCAAGGGAAAUGGACAGCGCAUUUAGAGGAUGCAAGAAGAUCCCAGGGACCCAGAAGUUAUUUACUGUGGAGCAACA
Zalophus californianus (California sea lion) is the source of this 473-nucleotide long non-coding RNA. RefSeq lists it as uncharacterized. The transcript has 4 exons. The record is from RefSeq and is a predicted model, not a curated record. Lineage: Eukaryota; Metazoa; Chordata; Mammalia; Carnivora; Otariidae.